RNAcentral lists this transfer RNA (75 nucleotides) under Burkholderia ubonensis. RNAcentral's name for it is "tRNA-Asn". It matches the Rfam family "tRNA". From Rfam's summary of the family: Transfer RNA (tRNA) molecules are approximately 80 nucleotides in length. Lineage: Bacteria; Pseudomonadati; Pseudomonadota; Betaproteobacteria; Burkholderiales; Burkholderiaceae. The record is from RNAcentral.
UGCGGGGUAGCCAGGUGGUACGGCAGCGCACUGUUAAUGCGCCCUUCGGGGGUUCGACACCCUCCCUCGCAGCCA